UACGUAGGGUCCGAGCGUUGUCCGGAAUUACUGGGCGUAAAGAGCUCGUAGGUGGUUUGUCGCGUUGUCCGUGAAAACUCACAGCUCAACUGUGGGCGUGCGGGCGAUACGGGCAGACUGGAGUACUGCAGGGGAGACUGGAAUUCCUGGUGUAGCGGUGGAAUGCGCAGAUAUCAGGAGGAACACCGGUGGCGAAGGCGGAUCUCUGGGCCAUUACUGACGCUGGAGGAGCGAAAGCGUGGGGAGCGAACAGG
Molecule: ribosomal RNA, 254 nt
Filed under: uncultured bacterium
Lineage: Bacteria
Description: partial 16S ribosomal RNA
Rfam family: Bacterial small subunit ribosomal RNA
Source: RNAcentral